AAAUUGAAGAGUUUGAUCAUGGCUCAGAUUGAACGCUGGCGGCAGGCCUAACACAUGCAAGUCGAACGGUAACAGGAAGCAGCUUGCUGCUUCGCUGACGAGUGGCGGACGGGUGAGUAAUGUCUGGGAAACUGCCUGAUGGAGGGGGAUAACUACUGGAAACGGUGGCUAAUACCGCAUAACGUCGCAAGACCAAAGAGGGGGACCUUCGGGCCUCUUGCCAUCAGAUGUGCCCAGAUGGGAUUAGCUAGUUGGUGAGGUAACGGCUCACCAAGGCGACGAUCCCUAGCUGGUCUGAGAGGAUGACCAGCCACACUGGAACUGAGACACGGUCCAGACUCCUACGGGAGGCAGCAGUGGGGAAUAUUGCACAAUGGGCGCAAGCCUGAUGCAGCCAUG
This 399-nucleotide ribosomal RNA is filed under the name Salmonella enterica. RNAcentral's name for it is "bacterial SSU rRNA". It matches the Rfam family "Bacterial small subunit ribosomal RNA", at positions 1 to 396 of the family's 1533-position model. The record is from RNAcentral. Lineage: Bacteria; Pseudomonadati; Pseudomonadota; Gammaproteobacteria; Enterobacterales; Enterobacteriaceae.